CCGCGGCUCCGCUUAGCUAGGUGGCUGCCUCCAUGUCCUCCCUCGAACCAUCUGAUAGUUUUAAGCGGUGACAGGAGCAGAAAAGACCCCUGUAGCGGCGCUUCAUUAAUGUGCCACUUCUUAGCUAUCAUAUGACAAUCGCCUUGGGAGGAGGAGGAAGAGGAGGGGGAGCGGGGGCUGCAGAGGGAGGGGACUGAGCGAGAGGGGAGAGCCUGGCCAGCUCUCAUUUCUUUCACACCUAUUUACAUGGACACCUUGGCCAAUAGGAAUCACUUCCAGCUCAAGACUGAGCGUGGGGGAAGAGCCUCGGCCACCGGAGGGGAGCAGGACGCGCUGGUCAGGGUGCACGGUGUGAAGGUUUCUCCUCAGCCUGCUCAUUGAGGAAAGACCACUUGCUCACAGUGCCCAAGGUAAGCUCACUUUCUCUCCACCCCCAACUUAAUUUUUUUGCUCUCUGCCACCCACAGAUAUCUUGUCAUCCUCCAAGGCCUAGUUUACUUCCUGGCCCCAUACCCAUGCAGGAAACAUUCACUUGCAUUCCCCAGGGUCCUAACUUUGAUGAAUCUGGGGAGACAGAACAUACUGGGAUCUCAACCAAAGGACCAAGAGAGGAGGAAUAAAUCAGGACCAUGGGCAGGGCCUGGAGAAAGGCACGUGGGCACAGGGGCUGCUGGCCUCUGCAGGUCUAGCCCAGGGUAUGAAAUGCUGAGCCUGCAGUAGCUCAAAAUAUGGCUGGUCCUGGUGCUGUCCAGGGUACCCAUUUUGGCAAUCAGAGCAUAGCAGCCUGAGUAGGCUAGGUGCUGGUGGUCCUGAGGGUUAGGGGCAGAGGUUGAAAGAUUGUGGUCCUGGGUGAUACUCUUUUCCCUCUUUUCCUCAAAUGUUCAUCUUUCUCCUCCAGAUCCCGGGUUUGAUCCCUAGACUCACAUGGCUUAAGGAUCCAGUGUUGCUAUGAGCUGCAGUGUAGGUUGCAGAUGAGGUUUGGAUCCCACAUUGCUGUGGCUGUGGCAUAGGACAGCAGCUGCAGCUCUGAUUCCACCCCUAGCCUUGGAACUUCCAUAUGCUGCAGGUGAAAUACACACACACACACACACACACACACACACAUACACACCUACAUGGGCUGCAGCACAGAGACAUGUAACUGACUGCUGGGCUAAACCCA
This 1162-nucleotide long non-coding RNA is filed under the name Sus scrofa (pig). Its description in RNAcentral is "lncRNA (ENSSSCG00045021383.1)". The record is from RNAcentral. Lineage: Eukaryota; Metazoa; Chordata; Mammalia; Artiodactyla; Suidae.